GGAUUACCCGCCCUCCCUUCUAAACUCUGUCUUUGCAUUGUCUAUUAGGUAGUUUUUGCUUGAUUACUUCUUAUCUUUUCAGGGGUGGAUCUAGUGGCAUAAGUUGAGCUACUUCUUUGCCAUAGUUGUUCUCCUCAUGCUGCUUAAAACUCGUAUUUUUUCCUGUAGGAGCUUACUUUUCAGUUUUUGUUGAACUCCAUGUUUUUUGUUUUCUUUUGAUUUUGCUGCAUAUACUUGAUGCUUAUUAAUG
RNAcentral lists this unclassified non-coding RNA (250 nucleotides) under Hevea brasiliensis (rubber tree). Lineage: Eukaryota; Viridiplantae; Streptophyta; Magnoliopsida; Malpighiales; Euphorbiaceae. The record is from RNAcentral.